RNAcentral lists this ribosomal RNA (614 nucleotides) under uncultured bacterium. Its description in RNAcentral is "bacterial SSU rRNA". It matches the Rfam family "Bacterial small subunit ribosomal RNA", at positions 844 to 1454 of the family's 1533-position model. The record is from RNAcentral.
UGCCGCASUAACGCAAUAAGUAUCCCGGCUGGGAAGUACGGCCGCAAGGUUGAAAGUCAAAGGAAUUGACGGGGGCCCGCACAAGCGGUGGAGCAUGUGGUUUAAUUCGACGCAACGCGAAGUUCCUUACCCAGGCUGGACAUGCAGGUAGUAGAAGGGUGAAAGCCUAACGAGGUAGAAAUACCAUCCUGCUCAGGUGCUGCAUGGCUGUCGUCAGCUCGUGCCGUCAGGUGUUGGGUUAAGUCCCGCAACGAGCGCAACCCCUGUCUUGAGUUACUAACAGGUCAAGCUGAGAACUCUGGAGAGACUGCCCAGGAGAACGGGGAGGAAGGUGGGGAUGACGUCAAGUCAGCAUGGCCUUUAUGCCUGGGGCUACACACGUGCUACAAUGGCCGGUACAAAGGGCUGCAAACCCGCGAGGGGGGAGCCAAUCCCAAAAAACCGGCCUCAGUUCAGAUUGGGGUCUGCAACUCGACCCCAUGAAGGCGGAAUCGCUAGUAAUCGCGGAUCAGCACGCCGCGGUGAAUACGUUCCCGGGCGUUGUACACACCGCCCGUCACACCACGAAAGUUUGUUGUACCUGAAGUCGUUGYGCCAAGCGCAAGGAGGCAGGC